AAGCAGCGAGCUCUCAGCUGCUCGCAGUCCGGUCAGUCCUGCGCUGGCGACGCUGAACUGUCGGCUGCAACUGCGAGAAACUUCUGGUGAUUUUGCUCUCGCAUUCCCUUUGUUGAAGAUGAGCUAACUUUAAAACAGCCUCUGCUGGCCAGGGAUCAGCUGAAGUGUUGGACACACCCUCCUAGUUCCAUCACCGCCACCAGCAGCACUCGAGGGCUCAACUGCAGAUGGGAGGUCACCAACAGGUCGUUUGUUUCGCCCAAAUGCACCUGUGUUGGCUCCACGUCUAAGAUGGCUGCCCUUGGCCUUCUCCUGCAUCCAAACAGACUGGAAAAGAGCUGCGUGCUACCAUGGUGAUCAUUUACUUGAAAACACUGGAAAAGAAGAAGGGUGUCAAUGAUGUAAAGUCCAAGAGCACCGAGAGACGGCUGCGUGAGCUCCACACCAUGAGCAGAGGGACCACCCUCGUCUCCUGUGGAACUGUGGGUGGCAAGGCACAC
This is a long non-coding RNA of Notothenia coriiceps (black rockcod), 500 nucleotides long. RefSeq lists it as uncharacterized. Lineage: Eukaryota; Metazoa; Chordata; Actinopteri; Perciformes; Nototheniidae. The transcript is spliced from 3 exons. The record is from RefSeq and is a predicted model, not a curated record.